Molecule: long non-coding RNA, 26800 nt
Filed under: Capsicum annuum
Lineage: Eukaryota; Viridiplantae; Streptophyta; Magnoliopsida; Solanales; Solanaceae
Description: long non-coding RNA (CANN_LNC021725)
Source: RNAcentral
UUGAAAAAUUGAAAUUAGUUCUAAAAUUAAUUAAAAAAUUGGGCAAUUUUAUAUCAAUGGGUCUAUGGUGUUUCUCGAUUUCGUUUUCCACCUUGACUUUACCAAUAAUAAACAUUUCUCAGUCAUGUCUUGAAAAAGCCUUUGAUAGGCUGGAAUGAUCCUUCAUUAGGCAACCGCUAGUUUUUUUCAAUUUCCCCCUGGGCUCUCUAAACUUAUCAUGUCCUACAUCUCUACCUCAUUUAUUUCCAUCCUUUUUAAUGGGGGCUACACAUCUAGUUUCAAUCCUUCCAGGGAAAUAAGACAGAGGGAUCCCCUAUCUCGUUACAUUUUCAUCCUUUCUAUGCAGCUUCUGUCUAGAAGGAUUAAUCAUAAAGUGGACACUCUUCAGUGGAAUCCUAUUCAGAUUAAUCGUAGAGGCCCAAAAAUCUUCCAUCUAUUCUUCAUAGAUGACCUUACCCUAUUUGCUAAAGAUAACAUUCUCAAUUACACUAACAUUGCUAGAACUUUUGCCAUCUUCAAUACUCACUCUGGCCGAAAAAUUAAUCUAGCCAAAUCUAAGAUGAUUUUCUCCUCCAACUGCCACACCUCUACAAAGGAUCAUCUCUCAUCUACUCUUGGCAUUAAGGCCAACAACUCUUUUGGGAAGUACUUGAGCUGUCCCAUUUUCCAUGGCCCUCCUAAACUCAAUGACUACCAGUUCAUUCUUAAUAAUUUAAGUACCAAAUUAGCUGAUUGGAAGGUUAAAAUCCUAAACAUGGCCGAUAGGACCACUCUUGCCAAGGCUAGUUUGGGAAGUAUCCCCAACCAUGUCAUACAGUAUAUCCUUCUUCAGAAUCAUAACCUUAUUGAUAAGGCCCAAAGAAACUUCAUCUGGGGCACUACUGACUCCAAAAAAAAAAAAGAAUGCACAUGGUUAGGUGGGACACUAUCACCUAACCCAAACACUUGGGUGAUCUGGGAAUGCAAAAAACUACUAUCAAGAAUGAAACUUUACUUUACAGUUUAGCCUGGAUACUGCAUUCUAAUCCCUCUACCUUAUGGGCUAGAGUUCUUACCUAAAGAGCACACCUAACACUGGAAGACACAUUUCCUCCCAUUCUCGAAUCUGGAGGAAUGGUCAUAGAGCCUGGAACCUCUGUCAUGAUAUUUUCCAAUGGUUUAUUAAUAAUGUCCACAAAGUUAAUAAUUGGAGAGAUAUCUGGGUCCCUAAUCACCCUCCGUUAUGGUCCAUUAUUCAAGGACCACUCCCCAAACCCUGUCCCUCGUUGUAACUUUCUUCCUUUUGUCAAAAUGGAGUCUAAAAUAUUGAUUCCCUCCCUUUUGACAUUCCCAACACAAUUAAAUUCAACAUCCAAAACUCUUUCCUACCUAACUGUAAAAGUCAAUCUAACACUCCUCUCUGACUUUCCACCGGUAACAGAGUCUUCUCUUGCAAAAUUGUCUACUAUCACAUAUUUUAUCAAAGGCAGCACUCAAUUCAUAGCUACCCUCAGCUAGGUUAGAUUUGGACUCUCCAGAUUCCUAAUAAAACCAAGUUCUUUGUUUGGCUCCUCCACCAUGACAACCUUCCCACCAAUUUUACUUUGGCUUAUUGGGGUUUAACAUCCUUCCUUACUGUCAUAAUUGCAACCAUCAGCUGGGAGAUGUUUCUCACCUCUUUUCAAUUGUCUUCAUGUUUUUUUCUUCUGGAAAGACCUCAUUCAAGGUUAUAAAGGAGACAAAGUCAUUCCCCCCAAGUUUUCCACCCUUCUACAUGGAAUAAUACUUGGAAGUUGUUUAAGGAUUCUAGUUUUGACAACCUUCUAGACUGGGUAACCUUACUUCUAUUUUUUCAUUGGACCAUCUGGAAGAAUAGGAAUUCUAAUGUGUUUAAUAACAAAUCCUUACCCCUCGUCUUUCAAAACUGCCUACUCGGAGGCAGUCGAAUUCUUUCAUCUAAAAACUCACCCAAACCCUAAGAUGAUUAGCACUAUAGAAGUCAACUAGAUUUUCCCCAGGCACUUCUAUAAUCUCAACACAGAUGGGUCUAGUUUUGGAAAAUCUUGGUAGGGGUGGCAUACGAGGAGUUAUAAGGAACUCUAAUGGUGACUGGAUCUUGGGCUUCUCUCAGAGUUUUUUUCAUGCCACUAAUAAUUUUAUGGAACUUGUUUUUUGCAUGCCACUAACAAUUUUAUAGAACUUCUAGCUGUUAGAAAAGGCCUGCAGCUAGUUUUUGAGUAUAAUCUCAACCCCAUUGUUAUAAACAUUGACUCUGAAGACGUGUUGUAUAUGAUUAAAAAUGUAAAUUCACUAUUUAACCUUUACAUUCAUGAUAGUUGGAUGAUGCUAAGAAGGCUAGGUAGACCCCCUGUCCAAUAGAGCUACAGGGAACAGAACAAAGUAGCGAAUGUUCUAGCAAAGGAAAAGGCCAAAAAUGACUUUUUGGAAAACUACAAGAUUUUUGUUGCUCCUUUCCCCCCAUCCCCACCCCCUUGUAGCCCAUACAAUAUGGUAUGAUAUGCAAAUAAAAAGUUUAUAUAGGACAACUUCUAACCUGUAAAUGCUUGGGCUACGCAAUCUUUAAAAACAUAAUAUUACUAUUCAAAAAACUGUCCAUAUUCAGCAACUAUGUGCAUGCCUCCCUCUUCGAAUCUGAUUUUUUUCAUCAAUCAACCUAUUCCAGGUCUCUUCUCUUUCUCUUUUUAGUACUUUUUCAUGAUAGAUUCAGAAUUUAAAGUUAUGAAUUUCAAAUUAUAAAUUCUAUUCUGAGUUAGUUUAAUAUUAUAAUUUAAAAACAAAAACACUAGGUUAUUACCAUCUGUUCUAGUCUUGGUGGAUGGUAACUGUUGAUAGUGGCAGGUGAAAGACAUUCAGUGGAGUAAUUCGAAAUGCACGUAAGAUGACACUACACACAGUUAUAAUAAUAAUAAUAAUAAUAAUAAUAAUAAUAAUUAUAAUAAUAAUAAUAAUAAUAGUCCAUUCCGUUCAAUUUUUUGAUGUAUUUUUCUUUUUAAUUCAUUUUUUCUUUUUUAGCAAGUUUCUACUUUCAAUUUCUCAUAUGACAUGUUUAAAGACAUUUUAGUACAUUUAACAUGUCCACCACAAAAUUCAAAAAUCUUCUUAUUUUACUUAAACUUAGUGUCAAAUCAUCAAUUUAAAACGAAAGGAGUAAUAAUUUAAUGACAAACAUAAGAUAUAGAUCAAAGUUAUUAAGUUCUCUCCAACUCAUCGUAUCUUUCUCAUUUACUUAGUUGUUCGAUGUGUCUUGUUAUUUUGUUGCCGUUAUUUUUUUUGUUUUAAUUUUGUUUUGAUUACAUCUUUUUUUAGUCAAUGUAUAUCCAAAAAGACCUCUCUAUCCUACAAAGAUAGGACUAAGAUCUGUCUACGUCGUAACCUUCUUUAGUUACUUAAGAGAUUACACCACAUAUGUAACUGUUGAUUUAAUUAUUAUUUUUUACUAUGUAUAUCAUUUGGCUAUUAACCUCCUUUGUCUCUUGAAUUUUCAAAAUUUAGAAUCAAAAUACAAUGCCUGUUAGAUAUAAUUUAAGUUGAAUCUAACUGUCUUUGUCAAAGGGUAUUAGAUUCAGUUGAACUCGUUACUUUUAUUCUUCGUCGGUCUACACAUGGUUAAGUUGAAUCUAUUAUAUCUAUCAAAUGUAUUUGAUUCAAUUGAACCCGUAAAAUUUAUUCUUCUUCCUCCUACUUAUACUUUGAGUUGAGUCUACUGUCUUUGUCAAAAGUAUAAGAUUCAGUUGAAUUCGUUACUUUCAUUCUCCAUCUACCGAUACAUAGCUUGAAUUGAUUUGUCUGUCACCGUCAAAAGUAGUCUGUCUCCGUCAAAAGUAUUAGGUUCAGUUGAACUUGUUAACUUUUAUUCUUCAUUCGCCUACUUAAAGUUUAAGUUUUUUUUUGUUGUCUUUGUCAAAAGUAUUAGAUUCAGUUGAACUCGUCCUUUUUUAUUCUUCAUCCACCUUUUUAUAGUUUGAGUUAAAUCUAUUGUCUCUAUCAAAUGUAUUAGGUCCAGUUGAAUCCAUUACUUUUAUUCUACGUUUGCCUACACAUGAAUCUUUUUGUCAAAAGUAUUAUAUUCGGUUGAACAUUAUUUUCAUUCUUCGUCCACCUACUUAUAGUUUUCAUUGAAUUUGUUACUUCUAUUCUUUGUGCACCUCCACAUAGUUUGAGUUGAUUUUGCUAUCGUAUGUUGUCGUAUUAGAUUCAGUUGAAUGUGUUACUUCUAUUCUUCGUCCACCUUGACAUAAUUUAAGUUGAAUUUGUUGAAAUCACUCUAAAUUUGCCUCAACUAUUUUUUCAACUAGUUGCCCAGUUCCACCAGUGAGCAAUGCAGAUGAAGUGCCCCAUUCAGUACGAGAAACACCUAAAAGUUUGUUCCACAAGAAGACAAAACUUGUGCAUACACCUGUGACAGAUCUGUUGUUCCAUUUACAUCUAGGGAUCUGGUCCCUUGUAACUAGAUGUUCAUUAUCAAAACUAUAUACAACAAUUUUCCCCCUUUUUGAUGAUGACAAACCAACCAUAUAACUUCGAGCACCAAUACACAUCGAUCACAUUUAAUCAGUGUGAUUACCACUCUAGAGAAGAAUGUUACACCUAUUAUUAUGCUUCCACCAUCAUCCAAUACAGGGACCUAGUCCCUUGUUGUCCUUUGUGGUAAAAACUUAUGAGCACAUGUUUGAUUCCCCUAUCACUAUUGUUAUUUAUAGCACAUGUUUUGCUCUCCUCAUCACUGUGCCUUACCAUAUCAGUAACAUGAGCACACAUACCCCUGAUCCUCACAUAUAAAAUUAGUAUUCCCCUUUUUAGCAUCAUUGAAAAGGAUUAACAGUAAAUCAAGAGUAAAUAUAAGUACAAGCUAAUUAACUCAUGGUCGUUGAGGCGACACUAACAUGAAGAAUAGCUUUAAAAUAAAGAAAAAAUAAUUAGCUUUAACAUUUCAGUAAUUAGGAUAAAUACCAUAAAAAUAUACCAAAAAAAUUAUAAAAAGUAUUGUUUGCAAAUGCCACAAUAGAAACUGACUCAGGAAGUUGACACACUAGGACUCAGGUAGAAGGGGCUUUAGGGGAGAGAGAUUUUAGCAACAUGUCCAUUCCAGCAGCCCCAGCAUCAUGAGCAUCCAGUAAUUGUUUGGUGAGAGUUCUUACUUUAACAUCAGUCCUUGGAUUUCACCAGUCAACUCUGCAAUUUUGGCCUUGAGUUUUUCAUUUUCUGGUGUAAGUUUUUCAGUGGUACCAGGUCCCUUAGAGACUUUCUUUAUUUUGAUAGCAAUAUGCUUCGUUUUGCUUAUAGAAGGACUACUAGACUUUGGACCAGAGGACCUGUUCCUCUCAGCAACAUGAACUUGUUGUAUUUUAUUCUUAGUUACAAUUACAAUAUUAGUGUCAGUAUCCUCAUCUGACCCAUCCCCCACUACUUUAAUAUUUACCUCCUUAACUGUGAGAACUUUCUUGUGUCUUCUUCUUUAGGUGGUAGAGGACUUACUUUUCUUUGUGGCAUCAACUAGUAAUAUUUGUCCAGAUCCCCUAGUGGAAUAAGAUCUAGUGCCUUGUACACCAGUGUCAAUCAUUUUCUCUUUUCCUUUACUGUCCUUAAGUUUCUUCAUUUUCCAAAUCAGAUAUUGUUCAUCAUCAUCCUUUUUAUUUUCCUAAUUUAGGGAGAAUGCAAACUCUCUAUCCUCUUUAAACUCAUCUUUUUCUCCUGUUAUUUGAUCUUCCCCACUAGCAAAACCUUCCUUGGGGUCAUUUCCAAGUAAAAGUAAAUUUUCAGCUACCAAAUUUAUGCUGAUGAGAGAAUCAGAUUUCUUUACAAGAAUCUUUUCAUCAAUCAGAUUAGCAAAUAUAGAGUUUGACUCAAAAAGUGUAGGAGAACCCGGUCCUUGUAAAUUAUCCAAAAUUUCAGUAUCUUUCAAUUCCUCGGAGGGAACCUGGAUUUGAGGGGCAUUGCAAGACUCUGAUUUUUCUGAGGAAUGAGGUCCUUCAGAUUGAAGAAUUUUUUGCUCUAUUAGAGAUCCAUAACCUUUGUUUAGGUUAUCUAUUUUGACAGAACAUUCACUGGGGCUUAGAUUUUUGGCUGGAACAGUUUCACUUAGGGUCUCAAGAAUGUCAUGGGAAGGACUGAUGAGUGACACUCUUUGUGGCUCUUGAUAAUGAUCAGAGGUUAUCUUUCAUGGGGAUUGAAGAGGAGGAAAUUUUAGACAUUUUGAGAUUUUUUAAGAUGAAAAAAGAAGGUACCAGUUUUGAGUUAAUUGAGAAGAGAAUGAAUAAAGUGGAAUUGAAUUUAUAAUUUAAAAGAUGAUUGUUUGAUAUAUAAGAGAUACCUUCUUAAAAUAAUGUAUCUGAUGACAACGGUUGUAACUCUUAAUAUUUAAACCAAAUUGAGAGCUUUUGUUCAUAUGGGAUUGGACAAGUAGCCCUUUUAAAAUAGAAAUUUUAUAAAAAAAAUUAAGGCAUAUUAUUUUGGUACUCACUUAAGUGAUAGGACCAGGUCCCUCUCUUUCUUGAGUGAAUUUUAAGCUUGUGAUUGCAUCAACUAUUUUUUCCCAAAGCUGAACCCAUGGAUGUAUACCUGCAAAGGUAUGGUACUGAGUUAGAUUAACAUGCACUUACAUUAUCAUAGAUACCUGUCUCCUUGACAUAGCAAAUUUUGAGAAGUAACACUGACUCAGAUGUUAGGUCAGGGCAUUUUGAUCAAGCUCAGUCUCAAUUUGAUCUUUUAGAACAGGUUUGAGGGCCAAGCUCUAGAUUUUUUCUUUACUCAUACUGCCUCAAGUUUCUUCUUUUAGGAUGAAUUCCUUUGGACCCAGGUCCCUUGUAAUCAUCUCUUACAAAGUGAGACAUUUUCACGUUGAAGUGUCUUGAGAGUGAGAAUUUAAUCAGAUCUUUAAAAAUUGAGUAUACAACACAACUAUUAACAGACAUUUCAUGACUGUAAUUCCCCUUCUCAUACCUGAAUUCAUGAUAACAAGUUGGAUUUGGGAAUCCACUUAAGUUUGAGUUUUCAAAAAGAAGACAAUGGUGCGAUCAAAACUUUCUUGGCCCAUUUAGGUAGAGAAUUGUUCCUCACAUUUUUCAGAGGUUUGAACUCCUUAUGUUGUGUACUCUCCUGAUGAAUAUAUCUGAAAUUAUUAAUUCUAGAUCUUAUCCAUCUCUAACAACUUGCCUUAAUAUGCUCAUCCUUUUCACAAUAAGUACACAUAGGAAUGAAAACCUUAUUUCUACCACCAUUGACAGUCUUUCCUUGCCACCCAACAAGUUGGAAUUCUCUUUGAUAGCCCAGUCCUUCGCCAUAAUUAACACCCUGACUAAAUAGUUCAGGAAGGAUCUAUGAAUAAGCAUUCCAUUUAACAGACUUGUUCAACUCUUCUCUUAAGCGGACCAGGUCCUUUUUUAACUUUUCAUUCCUGUAAAGUGCAGUAAAGAAUUUUUGGGAAUCUUCCAAUCUUUCCUUAAGAUUAACUUGAAGCCUUAAAGCUACUUUCUUCCCUUUUCCAUCUACAUCAUUUAUUUUCUAUAGAUUACUUAUCAAACUUAGAUUUUUAGAUUUCAUCUCAGUAGUUAGUUCACAUACAAAGUGUAUCAACAGACUCGCAAGCCUUUAUAUUUUUCUAGCCAUGUAAUUAUCGAGAUUCUCCUUAAUAUCAGAUAGUUUUACCAUUUUUUCAUCCUCUAUGUCUGCUAUGAAUGUAAAUAAGGAAUCACAGAUAACUGGACUAUCUUUCACUACGAGCAUAGAAACAUUUCCUAUCUUCUCAUCUUCACCUGAAUCACUGGAAUAGUCUCCCCAUCCUGCUAAAGCUUGCUUUACUACAUAACCAACUGCACCCUUUCUUCUUGAUCUUUUAGGUACCUGGUCCCUUAACUUUCCCUUGCUACCUGUAGCUUUAAGGUAAUCCUUAUAGUCCAUUUUGUGUAUUGGACAAUCCUUAAUGAAAUUCUCAGGAAUUCCACAUUCGUGACACACCUCAACAUUACUUCCUUUCUUGCUACUGUUUCCUCUUCUUUAAAACUGACCACUCUUCUUCAUGCCCUAACAAUCCUGCUUUCCAGAUAGGCAACUUCAAUGUCUUCAUCAUCAGAAUCAUGUUUAGAAGCCUUCAAAGCUAGGGAUUUUUAUAUUUUUACUUCCUUCUUCUCCAUUUUUUGCUUCAGUUAUGGCAUCUACCUUGCUUUUCCAGGACUUAGGAAGAACACCAAGAAUUUUUCUCUCUUGUUUGUACAAAGAAAUCACUUCUCUUAGGCAAUGAAGCUCAUUUGUAAUAGAAGUUAUCUUGUAUGCAUCUCUUGGAUUGUUUCUCCUUUUUUCGUAAUGAAGGUCUCAUACUGAGUAGUUAGCAUGUCUACUUUUGAAUCUUUCACAUCACAAGUACCUUCAUGAGCGGUCCUCAAAAAAUUCCAGAUCUCCUUAGCACUUUCACAAGAAGAAAUUUUGUUGUAUUCAUCAUGCCUUAUACCACAAACCAACAGCUUCUUGGCUUUGUAAUUUUUUUCAAUCCUUCUUUUAUCUUGAUCAUUGAACUCUUUCCUGCUUAUGACAACAAUUCUUGUAAUUCUCAUUCUUUAACUUCUCUAACAAGAACAUGAGAACCAUCCAGAAGUAUGUCCAUCAGCUCACUAUCUUCAGCCUUAAUGAAGUCAAACAUCCUGGUUUUCGACCACCCAUUGUACUGCUCAUUAAAUCUAGGUGGCCUAGUGGUAGAUUUCCCUUCUUCCUGAUUAGGUGGAGCCACCAUGAUAGCCAAAUCACUCUAGGUAUGAACUUUUUAGAGUGCUUUGUCUUAAAUAUCAAUUGUUGAAACCCUGAGGGUUGCACCACACAGUGAGGGCCAGGUCCCUUAAAGUCAAUCAUAGACAAAAACUAUUAAAAUAACCACCAAUCAAAGAAUAGUGCAGGAAGAGUAAAAACACAAAAUUUUAACGUGAAAACCCCCUUUGUUCAAGGAAGGAAAAAACCAUGGCUUGCCCUCACAAGUACUUCAAAAUCCACAAUGAUCAAAAUCUUGAUUACAGCCUUCAUUGAACUUAACUCUAGGUUCCUUUCGUGUGUAAUAACUCUAUUACAAGCUCAUCUUGACAACUCUGUCAAGGAACCUCUACACUGAUUAACUCUAAUAAGUAUCAAGCUUGAGACAACUCUACCUAAGCACUUCCCUCAUCAAUGAAAAACACUACUCUUAUAGCAUGAGUAAUUCAAUUACAAAUCAGAUCUCACACAAGAACAGUUCCUAAUUAAGCACACAUAAUCUGCUAAGAACUUGAGCAGUGCUGAAAAAUGGAGUUUUUGUUGCCUCUCUUUACUCUUUGUAAUUGCAAAAAUUGUUUGAUAAAGAAGCAUUUUUUCUUUUAUAGAUGAGUGAUGAUUAGGACCGACAAAAGAUUGGUCCAGGUGUCCCAUUUAGUACGAUCAACACCUGCAAGUUUGUUACAUAAGAAGACAAAGCUUGUGCAGACACGCAUGCCAGCUAUGUUGUACCAUUCACAUCAAGGGACCUGGUUCCUUGCAGUUAGCUGCUCAUCAUCUAUAUAGAAAUACGGAUUGACCGAACCCUUAAUUUCACUGCCAGUGCUGCAGCUUUUUGCACCUCCGUUAUGUUCACUUUUAAGUCUUGUGAUAAUAUAUACAUAUAUAAUGAAUUUUUUUUAUUACUUUGAAGCUAGUUAAGAAUACAAUGUCAAUUUUCAAUGCACAUAUCUUACUUGCUCACACACCAAUAAAUACACACAUAUCUUGAUAUUUUUCAUGUAAACAAAAAUAAAUCUUAAUUUUAUUUAUAACAAAAAGAGCAAGAAAAACUCGUACGAAAAUGGAGUCAUGAUUUCAACUUUAUGGAUUUUGAAAUUUAAAAUAAUGACUUCAGUUGUCAAUAAUUGGAUACUACAUUUAAUAUUUUCACUUUUUUUGUGAACUAGUAAGUUCAAAUACACUCUUUGUACAACAUCUAGAUUAUGCGUCUCUUAUUAAAGACUUAAUGCAUGACAAAAAAGAGCACAAUUCAUAUCAUAUCUAACUUAAGAAGAUGCAUGCUGUCCCUCAUAUCAUUAAAAUAUACUUCAAGGACUCAAAAAAAUCAGAUCUAAUUUGAUUGAACAAAAUUAGAACUUUAUAAAAAAAAAAUGCAUAGAAAUCCAUUACUCAAUUACACUAAAAAGGCAAUACAUACUUUGCAAAAUCAUUUCUGUAAUAUCCCGAGACUCUAACCAAGUGCAACCAUGACUCAAGCUCAUGAGAAGUAAAUUAUAGUGCUUUGGCUAUUUUCUGAUCAAGGAUGAUGUGUAUUAAGGCCUCAAAGAUGUCCUAGCAAUUAGGUGAAUCAAAACAUUCCUUACCGAUUGAAUUCUUGGGAACGAUAUUGCCAUAUUCAACUUUAAAUGAGCAUAUCUCUUAUUAUAAUACGAAUUAUUGAGCUCAUGACCUACCAAAAGAUAGAUAAUUGAAUUAAAUUUCCAACUAUACCAAUUUCACUAAAAUGCGGUAUCGGAUCCAAGAUUUAUGCCCAUUUUACUCCAGCAUAUAAGGCUGGAAAACUAAGUGACGACAUUUUGUGAUAAGCUGUCACAAGUGUGACGACUUAUCACCAAUGUCGUCAGCCUUAGGAAGAUUUCCACCCCCAGUGAAGACAUUUUGUGAUAAGUUGUCACAAGUGUGAUGACUUAUCACCAAUGUCGGAAAUGAUGACUUGUCACAAGUCUGAUGACUUGUCACGAAUGUCGUUAGCUAUUUUUUUCAACAAUUAAAGGACAUUUUUGCAUGGGUAUUUUGGUCUUUUCCAUCUUUUGGAGGCCCCUAUAUAUAUAUAAAUUCCCAUCUAAACCCUAAUUUCUUCAUUCUCUCUUCCAAUUCUCUUAAGAAAUAUAUCUAGGGUUUUUAUUUAAGGACAUUAAUCUUCCAAAAAUCAUCCAUAAAUCUUCAAGAUUUCUUCAAGAAUCAAGUUCCUCAUAGUGUGGGCUCCAAGAAUCAUUUAUUACAAGUGCAGAUAAAGUCUCAAGCUCUAGAAUUCAUCCAAUUUCAAAAAUUAAGGUAUGUGGGGUUUUGAACAAGAGCAAUUCAUUCGUUCUUGUGCCCAAAGCUUUGAUUUCUAUCAUGGACUUAUAUGAUUUUGCAAGUGGGUUUAUACCCAAAUUACUUCAUCAUGAGAUUAUGAGAAUAUAAAUUGUUCAAGCUUUGUUAUACAUGAUUAUUUUGCUAUUCCCAAGUUAUGACUUGAUGUUUAAUAUUGUGAAUUUCAUAUUUCUACCAUGAGUUGAUAUUUGACGUGCUUUCAAGAUAUGUGUCAAGCUUUAAGCUUCCUUAUGAAUGACAAACUAGAUUAUUGAGUAUAUUGAUUCAUAAGAUUGAGUUGUUACAAUGAGUCUUGAUAUUUCCUCAAAGUUAUUGAUGUUGUCAUGAUUUAAUGAAUUGAUACAUUUUGAUAUUGAGAAAGAUUGAUUUGAUUUGAGUCGAGUUAGGAAUCCACAAAUUGAUUAUGAUUUGAUAAAUGAGAAAGAGAUUUGAUUUGGUCUUCAUGAUAGAUCCUUGUGAUAUUUGUGGUGGAUUUCCUAACGCGUUCUGAGCUUGUUUCUGGGAGUAGUAUUUAGCACCGAGCAGGAAAUGUGGUAUUUCCCCAAAACUACGUGCCACUGUAGGAUUGAUAUUGAUAAUUAUGGGCCAGAGGCUGAGUAUGAGAUUAUGAUCACUAUGUUUUGGUUGUACUCCCUAGCAAGAGUACGACGCUCCCGCCAAUGUGGGAUUCUGUCCUUAGGAGGGAAAAACAUUGGAAUCCAUGUAGCUUACAUGGUUUAUGUCGGUUAUAAGAACCUUCCAUAUCCAUAAGAGUUGAGUUUCUUGAAUUAUCGAGUCACUCCGAGUCUUUACUUGAAGAGUCGAGUUGUUUAUGAUUAUUUAUGAGGGUUUUAUCAUAUGAUUUAUUUACUAUGAGAUCAUGAAAAGUAUGUUUCAAUCUAACUCAAUCCAAGUGAGCUAUCAUUGUACAUAUGCAUAUUUUUUUUAAAUUGAUGAUGAUAUUUGCAUUGUUACAUGCACCCCCACAUACUUAGUACAUUCCAAAGUGUUGACCCACAUAUAAUCCUAUGGACUACAUUUUCUCGUAAUGCAGGUUCAGGUACUCAGCUACAGCCGUGUUAGCGAUAUUCGAGUGCCUCAACUACGUUCCCCCAGUGGUGAGUCCUCAUAGUUUGAGGACUGUGUCUAUAUUUUUGGUGAUAUCGUUCUGUUGUUACGGCUUUCAGUACUGUUUGAGUCAGUUGGGGGUUUGUCCCAGUGGCUUCUUGAUUUUUAUUUAUAGAGGCUUUGUCAGACUAGAGGGUUGGUAUGUAUAGACAUUCAAUAUAUUUUGGUUGUACAGUCUAGUAUUCUCCAGUAUUUCUCAUGAACCCGAUGUGGUAUAUCUCUUUGUUAUACAUGACUAUUGUUGAAUUGAAUUUCUCGAGGUAGUGUCUGGCUCCGAGGGUUAGCUUGGGGCUACGUGUAGCCCUAAGCACCGUAUGGCAUCUUGGGAUGAAAUUUUGGGGCAUUAAAAUUUCCCCUAAUCGAUCGUGGUGAAGUCAAAAACAGAUUCAUCAAAUCAUACACCUUACGCUACGAUUGAUAUGAGAAUGAGUUGAGUUUUAUGAAAAAGAUGAGACGGAAUUUUAUUACUCUAAGGAAAUUAAAUUAUGUUGCUGAUAAGAGGGCGGGGAGGAAUUUGAUGUUACAAAUUUGGUGAUUUUAGGAGAUGUGCAUAAUCACUUGAUGCGUUUCUGACCCAGAAGGGAUGAAAAAUGAAAGAACUUGUGUGCACUUUCUAUGGAGUGGAGUGUACUAUCAUGCCUUUAUUUAUUUUUUAAGUAAAAAAAAAAGAACCUUAAAAGAAAGAGACAAAAAUCUUAAUACCUAGAACAUAACGCCUAGACUGUAACGCUUAGAGCAUAACACCUAAAAUGUAACGCCUAUAUAUAUACUCUUCACAUAUAUUAUGAAGAGUUAACUAAUCAAAUCUUUGUAAUCGAUUUUGGAUUCUACUUUCUCUCACCCUAUACCAAAUUCAACUUGAAGAAAUGAAAAACAAAAGAUAUUAAGUUUUGUUUUAUAUAUAUCUACUGUCACUAAUAGAAAUUGCAAACUAAGUUUUAUGUUUUAGAUAUAAAACAAAACUUAGUAUUCUUUGCUUUUCAUUGCUUCAAGUUUAAUUCGAUAUAGAGUGAGAGAAAGUAGAAUCUAAAAAGGAUUACAGAAAUUCGAUUAGUCAACUCUUCACAAUAUAUGUGAAGAGUAUAUAUAUAGGCAUUAUAUUUUAGGUGUUAUACUUUAAGUGUUACAGUGUAAGCGUUAUAUUUCAGGUUGUAAGAUUUUUGUCUCUUUCUUUUUUAGGUUCUUUUUUAAAAGUAAAAUAAAAAAUAAAGGUAUGAUAGUACACUCCACUCAUAGACCGUGCACACCAAUUCUUCUUUCAUUUUUCAUUUCUUUUGGGUCAGAAACACGUCAAGUGACUGAGCACCUCCCUUAAAGUCAUCAAAUUUGUAACAUCAAAUUCCUCUCUGUCCUCUUCUCAGCAACAUAAUUCUAUUUCCUUAGAACAAAAAAAACCCAACCUCAUCUUUAUCUUAAAACUCACCUCACUCUCAUAUCAAUCCUAGCUUAAGGUAUAUGAUUUGGUGAAUCUAAUGUUGACUUCACCACGAUUGAUUAGGUGAAAGGAUUUUGCAAAGUAUGUUUUGCUUUUUUAGUAAAAUUGAGUAAUGGAUUUCUGAGCAUAUUUUUUUUGAUAAAGCUUUAUUUUUGUUCUAUCAUAUUAGAUUUGAUCUUUUUAAGAUCUUGAAGUAUAUUUUAAUGAAAUAAUGGAUACCAUGCAUCUACUUAAAUUAGAUAUGAUAUGAAUUGUCCUCUUUUUUGUUAUGCAUUGAGUCUUUAAUCGGAGAUGCAUGAUCUAGGUAUUGUACAAAGAGUGUAUUUGAAAUUAGAAAUUCACUAAAUAUGUGCAAAUAUUAAAUGUUGUACCUAUUAUUGGCAACUGAACUCAUUAUUUUUAAAUUCAAAACCCAUAAAGUUGAAAUCGUGACUACAUUUUUGUGCAAUAUUUUCUUGCUCUUUUCAAUAGAACUACUACUAGGUAGCAUUAUAUUAAGCUAAUUAUUUUAGUUUUUACCUCUAUAUUCUUUAAAAGAAAAUUAUUUAAGUGUAUGGGUGGUUAAAUUUUACUAAUGAAUGGCCCAUAAAUUGAUAAUUCAACCCAAUUUUUACUCAUUUAGUUUCAUGGAUUGUCUACCCAAUUGAAAGGUCUUCACUUUUUGUUAUGUAUUAAACUUGCAUCCAAUGGCAGAACCGCAUUAUGGCUGAACCCCCUUCGGUGAAAAAAUUAUACUAUUUUUAUAUGGGGAAAAUUAUUUUUUUUAUAUAUAUAAUUGAUGUUGAAACCCUGCGGUUAAUUCGUGUGCCAACAUUUUUCGAUUUUGAACCCUCUUGCUGAAAAUUCAGGCUCCGCCACUGCUUGUAUCUAGUGAGGCAUAGAUUCUUUAAGGAUGUUGAGAAUUAGUACAGUAACAAAAACAAUUGGGAUUGGGAGGUAAGUGUAAGCAGCCCAUACCACUAUCUCAGAUGUGAGAUAGAUAGGUUAUUUCUGAAAGACCCCCGGAUCAAAACAAAACAAUCUAGACAAGGAAUAGUAAAAGAACAAAAUACAAUAGAAAUCAACAUAUCCAAUAAUACCAUAAACAAGAUACAUCAAGUAAUACAACAUCCUAAACUCAUACUAACCUUCUACUCUAAUGUGUCUCCUCCAUAACUUCGUAUCUAGGUUCAUAUCCUCGAUAGGUUGGAGUUGCUCUAUGUCAUGUCUAAUCACCUUUCUCCAAUAUUUCUUCGAUCUACCUCUACCUCGCUAGAAACCAUCCCCACACUUGCUACUGGGAAUCUGUGCCCCUUCUCAUCAUAUGACCAAACCAUCUCAACCUUGUUUCCCUCAUCUUGGCUUUCACUGAAGUCACUCCUACCUUAUCUCAGAUAACCUCAUUUCUAAUACUAUCUUUUCUAGUACACCCACACAUCUACCAAAGCAUUCUCAUCUCCGCUACCUUCAUUUUCUGGAUGUGGGCCUUCUUAAAAGGCCAGCACUCUGCCCCAUAUAAUAAAAUCAGUCUAACUACCACUCUAUAAAAUUUUCCUUUAAGUUUAGGAGGUACCUUUUUGAUACACAAGAUUUUGGAGGCGAGCUUCUACUUCAUCCACCCUACCCUAAUCUAUAAGUGACAUCUUCGUCAAACUCUCCAUUCUCCUAAAUCAUAGACCCUAUAUACUUGAAACUAUAUCUCUUAUUGAUAGAAUGAGUAUCAAGAUUAACAACCAUAUUAGACUCAUGCUACACCUCACUAUACUUAUACUCCAUAUAUAUCGUCUUGGACCUACUCAACCUAAAUACAUUAGACUCAAGGGUUUGCCUCCGAACCUAUAAUUUAGUAUUUACUCCACUACAUGCCUCAUCAAUCAAGACCAUAUCAUUCAAAAAAAGCAAACGGUAAGGCACCUCACCUUGAAUUUGCCACAUCAAAACAUCCGUUACUAAGGUAAAAAGGAACGAACUAAGCAUCAAUCCUUGGUGUAACCCCAUCAAAAUAGGAAAGUGCUCCAAGUACCCUCUCCUAGUCCUAACCCGAGUCUUCGAUCCAUUGUACAUUUCCUUAAUCGCCCUAACAUACACCAUAGGUACACCUUUAGCCUCUAAACACCUCAAAAGAACCUCCCUAGAAACUCUAUCAUAAGUUUUCUCUAAGUCAAUAGACACUAUGUGCAAAUCCUUCAUUCUUUCCCUAGUCCAUCAGUCUCCAAGCGAGAUGGAUGGAUUUAUUAGUUGAGCAUAUUGACAUAAAUACAAACUAAUUUUCAGAAAUAGUAACGUUCCUCUACAACCUCAAUAUACCCCUAUAAUUAUUGCAAUCCUGAAUGCCACCCUUACUCUUAUACAAUGGAAUCAUCUACUCCACCUCCAAGCUUCAGGCAUCCUUGUCGUCUUGAAAAUUAUGUUAAACAACUGAGUCAACCACUCUAUUCCUGCCCCUCCUGUGCACUUCAAAAAUCCAUGGGAAUCUCAUCUAGCCCCAUCACUCUACCUCUACACAUCCAACGAAUAUCCUCCUUAACCUUUUCAAACUUAAUGCACCGCCAAUAACCAUAAUCGCAAAACCUUUUGGAAUGCUCCAAAUCCCUUAACACAAUGCUAGUAUCCCUUCUUUUAUUCAGGAGCUCAUGGAAGUAAGACUGUCAUCUCUUUCUAAUACGACCCUUCUCCACCAAAACUUUGUUGCCCACAUCCUUAAUACACUUCACUUGAUCAAGGUCCAGAGCCUUUCUGUCCCUAACCUUAGGUAGCCUAUACAACUUUUUUUCCCGAACUUUACUAUCUAACGUUGUGUAUAAACUCUCGAAAGCAGCAUCCUUAGCCAUCGGGACCGCUAACUUCACCUUUCUCCUAGCAAUCUUAUACUCCCAAUUUUUCCAUUUAUCCUCUUCAUCCUUACUCUCGGCAAACUUUGCAUAUGCUUUCUUCUUAGCCUCCACCUUCUUCUUCACCUCUUCAUUCCACCACCAGCUCCCUUGGUGUUUGCUCGAGAGGCCUCUCGAGACACCCAACACCUCUCUAGUUGCCUCCCUGAUACAACUGGCAAUCUUAUCCCAUAUACUAUCAGCAUCCCCUCCACUCUCCCAAGCCUUCCCCUUCAUCUACUUAUCCCUUAUAUCCAGUGCACUAGCCAAAGUCAGAUUGCCCUAUCUAAUACUUAGAUGAUCCUCCAUACCUCUUCUUCUCCGUUCCUUUAUGAUCUCCAAGUCCAUCACCAAAAGCCAAUAUUGGGUCAAAAGAUUCUCAUUCGAUAAGAUGUUACAGUCUUUACAAAUACUUCUAUAUCCUUUCCCAGGGAGUAAAAAGUCAAUCUGGGUCUUGGCUAUUGAAUUACGGAAGGUACCAAGUGAACCUCCUUCUUGGGAAAGUUUGAAUUAACUACCUACCACCAAUCCAAAUGCCCGAGCAAAAUUCAAAAGUGACACUCCUUCGUCAUUCCAUAUACCAAACCCACAGCCUUUAUGCACAUCAUCAUAACCCCUUGAAGAAGACCCUAUGUGCCCAUUGAAAUCCCCUCCUAUAAAAGCCUUAUAAUUACUAGGGACAUCUCUCACCAUCUCGUCCAAAGCCUCCCAAAACCUUUUCUUCUCAUCCUCAUCCAAGCCUAUAUGCGGCGCAUAUGCACUAAUAAUAUUCCAAGAAGACUCUCCAAUAACUAGUUUAAUUGAUAUCAUCCUAUUGUCGACCCUCUUAAACUCUAGGAUACCUACACCAUUCCUGUUCCUCACGCUUCCUGAGUACCACAACUUAUAACCAUCUAGUACCCUCGCCUUAGUACCUACCUAUUUGGUAUUUUUGAGACAAGCUAUAUUAAUUCAAUUUUUUUCUAAGAAUUUUCACUAGCACUAAUGAUUUCUCUAAUAAAGAACAUAUUUUCCACGAUCCUACUCUCAACUUACAACCACCUUUAGCCCUUUUACCCUUCCUUCUCCCUACCCUACCCCGACCCCAACCCCAGCUCCACCCAAAGACAUGGCCCUAAGUCAAGACCAUUUUCCAAAACCAUCAGAGACUAGAGACUGCACCAACCAAUAGCACUAAGAGCACACAUUCUAGACAAUAAUGUAAACCAAAAAUGUUACUAUCAAGCCCACACUACAGAACUACUAAGGACAAUAAAAAUAAAUAAAACGCAAGUAGAAUUAACAAGUAAAUCACUACUAUGAAAUAUAGAAAUAAAUAAGUAAAUUGUCAUCCAUAGACAAGAUAGUCAGCGAAGGCGCGAAGAUAAAAGGGAUUGAAGUACAAAUAGUACACAAGACAGACAGUAGCAGCCACUAGAAUCAAGAAAGCUAUACACACGACUUGAAGAGAUGGAGUGAGUGCACUUGAUUGAAGUUGGGUCAAUUUGCUUGGUCGAGUCAUCAAAUUUUGAUAAUUUACAAUAAAAAUUGGUUGCAGAAAUCUUGACGUCACCGUUUGAGAAGAGGUGUCAGAUCUGGACUUGUAGUACCUGUAAAGGGAUAGAAAGAAAAGAGAAGAAAGUUAUGGUCGCACGAGAAGUGAGGAAAAACAAUGAUUAGUUUCACUGGAAACUAGCGUCACUUGUCGAAAACUGAUAGGUCGCUAGUCUGACGAGAAGCCGCUAAAGUUUAGUGGUCGACACAAGAAGUGAGAGAAAUAAUGACAAUCCGCUUAUCCAAAAACUGACGUCACUCGACGAAAACUGAUGAGUUUGUUGGGUCGUAGAGAUGGGAUUGAAUCUUGGAUGGACAGAAGAAUUAACCGGAGUAAAGUCGCAGGUAACCAGUAGGAGUUGACCACGACGACGAUUAAAUAGAUGGACAAUGGAAGGAGUCGACCACGACAAUUGCCAUUUGUUUCAAAUCCAAAGUUGAGCAUUAGUACAAUUUUUGGAAAAUAUUUACAGAAGAUUUCUGCUCUUAACGGAAGAGCAAUUAACUCCAAUAAGUAAUGACAAUAUUUAAUGUGAGUUUAACGGGGUUAUAUUAGUCAAUCUGCACUCCUUAUUAAUUUCUCCUUAAGAGUUGUACAAAAGACAAACAUGUCAAGUAAUAUGACAUGAAGGGAAUGAUAUAUAACACAUAACUUGUUGAUUAUGUGAAAAUAUAAACUUAUGCUCCUCGGAAAAUCAACUUGCUUUGAGUGGCAAAUAUUAAAUGCCAACAAAAAGAAAAGAAAAAUCUUAUUUAGAGGUCUCGAGUACAAGUUUCUAAAAAAAAAUUCCUCUUAAAAGCAUUGUUCUAGUCUCCUAGAAAUGGACCUUGUUGUGCUCAAAUUCUUGACAAAAGUGACCCUAAAAUGUGCAAAUUCAAAUUUAAUCGAAUCCCAAAAUAAAGAUGAUGGUUCAGGUGAAAAAAAAAGAAAUAAUUGAUAGUUGGAAUGUGAAGCUUGUGAAAAAGUAAUAGUUUAGGUGAUUUUUUGACCAUUAAUUCUUAAGAGAAACUAUAUCAAGUGUGUUUUUCAAGCCAAGUAUCGAGCUUGUGAACUCUCAUUGCUUUAGGGUGUGUUUGGUAUGAAGGUAAAAUAUUAUCCACAGAAUUAUUAUUUCAAGAUUAUUUAUACAUUAUUUAGCAAAAAGCUCUAGAAGUGGGAUGGGUUAGGGUGUGGGGUCUUGAGGUUGAUGGGGUGGGAUGGUCAAGGGCAGAGGUAUCAAAAUGAACCCAAAUUGAGCUAACCUGUCCAACCCGUCCAAUAUUUAAUGGGUUGGGUUCAAGAUAAUUUACUAUUGAGUAAAUCUCAACUCAUUUUUAAAUUGGGUUCAAAUGAGCCCAAUCAAUCUCCACUUCAACCCGUUUGAUAAAAAAAAUAAUUUUCUUAAUGAAAGUAAGAAAAACAAGAAAUAAUAUGUCCUCCUACUCUCAAAAAGACCCACCACACCUCAUCCCCACCUCACCCCAACCCCACUACACCCCUAGCUUACCCUACUCACCCUGCCUCCAUUAACUAUAUUAUUUUUAAUUCUUAAAAAGUUUUUAUAAAUAUUUUUGCCCCCACCCCACCUAAACCAUUGCCCUCCCUACCCAGACUCCCACCCUCACCCCCUCCUCCACCCAAAAAAUUAAUUAUUUUAAUUUUUUUUUUUAAAAUUAACAAUCUUUUCUUACCUCACGAUCAAAAUCCUACCCUCUCCCCUUCGCCGCAUCCCCUACUCCUCCCAAAAAAAUUAUUUUUGUUGGGCUUGGGUGGGUCAAGGCCCAACCCAAUUUUUACCCAUUUCAACCCAAAAUAAAUUUGGGCGGGUCAUGACCUAACCCAGUAUCCAAUUCAACUCAUUUAAUAUUUUCAGUCUCAACCCAAUCCGCCCAUUUUCCCCAUGGCAUACCCCUUUCUCAAAAAGUUAUUUUUAAAAAAAAAAUCAAUCAUUUUUUUAAAAAAAAUUCUUACCUCUACCCAUCCUAACCCCCAACCUCCCGGUGCACCCCUCCCCAAAAAAUAAAUUUUUAUUUUUUUAAAAAUUAAAUUUUUAUUUUUAACUAAGUGGGUCAAAUUGGGCGGGUCAAGGUCCAACCCAAUUUUUAUCCCUUCCAACUCAACCCAAAGUGAAUUUGGGCGGGUCAUGACCCAACCCAGUAUCCAAUUCAACUCAUUUAAUAUUUUCAAUCUCAAUCCAUCCCACCCGAUUGACACCCCUAGUCAAGGGGUAGGGGUUGGUGGUAUUAAAUAGAGGACAUAAUAAACACAGAAUGCCACUUGUAGAACUUGUUUUUCCUACUUCCAUUAAGAAAAUUAUUUUCCUCAUUUUUAAGCAUCUUUUUUUACUAGCCAAGUUCUUCCGACUAACUUUUUGGAAAGAAUGUAGUUAAUUGAGGAGGCAGAGAGUAGUGUUAGUGUUGUCAUGUGGUUCGUUAUAUUGAAGUGUCAGCAGUGAUCUAGUAACAAUGAUGAUCUAUUUCUUUUAUUUUUGACGAAAGUUGGUAAUUGUGUAGGAUUCGAAAAAUCUUCAAUUUACGAUGCACAUUAAUAUACCCUCUUAAACUAUCUAUCUAUAGCAAAUGAGCUUCGGGAUACUAGAAAUGGACUCACCUUUGCAAGCUAAAUAUGAAGAUCUCGUCACUUGCUUAAUCUUCGAGAAAAUUAAUGGACCAAAACAAGAGUACACGGAAUUCAUCAUUGAAGAGCGCUUCCAGCAGCGCCAUUUAAGAAUUAUGUUAGGGAAGUCACAAUUAGAAAACCCUACUAUAGGGCAUUUUUAUAGUUGGGCAAGAACCAUUGGUGGAUCGGGUCUUGACUCUUCAGAUAUCUUUUUAUUUUCAUUUUUUGGGCUCACUUGAGUAAUUUUGAACAAACAUUACUUUUUUUAUUUAAUAAAACGGGUCAGGCCCAAAGUUAAUUUUUUUAAAAAAUAUAUAUAUCUCAAAAAAUCUUCUUGUUAUAUUUUCUUCUGAUGACGUUCAAACCCUCUCCUCAAAAAGAAGAAAGUAUACACAGUCGUCAUAAUAUAAUUUAUCCAAUUAUGAGUCAGGUUGAAUUCAAUAGGAAACAAUUUUUGAACAUAGUAAUUUAAUUUAAACUUGUAAUGAUCUAAUGUAGAGUUAAACCACCACUAAUUAUUGUGAAUCAAUUGUUCUUAGCCUCGAAUAAUAGUUCUUUAAUAGUUUGUCUCGAACACUAACAAGACCACUGGAAAAAGAAAAAACACUUUAUUACUUACUAACAGUCUAUUAAGAUUCUUGUUCUCCUAAUUUUCCUAUCUAGGAAUAGGGUCAUGUUCUCGAUGAACUACGGUUGUGUCAUAUUAUGUCUAUUCAUUUCUCCGUAAUUCUUCCUUGGUUGAUCUCAGAGGCAGAGCCAGCCUAUUAAUAAGGGGUUCAUCCAAACCUCCUUCGAUGGAAAAUUUUAUUAUUCAAAUAUGAUUAAAAUAAUUUUUAUUUUUAUAUUGUAUAUGUUGAACCCCUUGAAUAGAAAAUCUUGUUGUGCCUGUGACUGAUCUUUACCUCUCCUCGGACCUAUCACUGUCAAUCUCUUGCACUUCCUCACAAGGGCUUGUGCAUUUUUCCUCUUCACAUACUCGAACUAUCUCAACGCCGUUCUUGCAUCUUGUCUUUCACGAAAACUAUUUUCACAUUGUCCCACAUAUAUUUAUUAUUAAUCUUAUCUCUUCUAGCAUAUCAACGUAUUCCUCUAAGCAUUUUUAUUUCUGCUAUCUUCAUCUUUUGAGUCUGAGAAUUCCUGGCUGACCAUCAUUCCACUUCGUGUAAUAUAGUCGGUCUAACUAUCACUUUAUUAAAAAUUUUAAAUCACAAUGACACAUUCUCAAGUCAUCAAAGUAAGAUAAUAAAUUUGCUAGAAAUCUUGGAAUGAGUGAAUAAGAGUUUUGGAAAGACAAAAAUGUCACAAAUGUGACAAGACAUGACAAGUGUUCGAACAUCAUCCUGAAUUAGUUAAUUUCAAAUUAGUUGUCAUAUUCCGCUUCUAUAUAAAUUAAGUAAUAUUUUAAAAUAUAUAUUUUAUCAUAUUCAUAUGAUGAAAAAUUAUAAAAUACAUUUUUCCAUUGUAUUAAAUAAGAAUAUAUGAAUUGGAAAAAAAAUCCCUCUAAGUGAUUAUUCGACAAACCUUUCGAAACUUUUUUAUAUUGAGAAGUAUAUUUUGAAAAAUAAUAUAUAUCUUUUAAUAUUGUAGUAGUAUUUGAUUCAUUAUUUUUACAAUAAUUUUAUCAGAUAAAGAAUAUUACAUGUUUUAUCAGAAAAUUACAAUUUUUGAAAUUUUAACUGUAGUUCAAAAGUAAUUAGUGCUGACAAUUAAUAGUUCACAAAAAAUCAAACAUAGCACUGUUUACCUUUUAUCAUCUCAAAUUAAAUUUAGUAUAAUGUUAGAGAUAAUAAAAUUCAAAAUAAAUUAUAAAGAUUCAAACUCAUAUUUUAUUCAAUAUAUUCAACUCUUUUCUCCUUCAAGGUAUUACGUUCCUUGUAUAUCCUUUUUAGGUUAUAAUUUAUAAUGAUUUUAUAAAGCUUUUUUUAGUGAAUUAAAUGAUGAUUUUUGUAUUUGUUGAUGAAGUUCUCAUUUUUAGUUCUACAAAAUUCACGUGAUACAUAGAUAAAGAGAAGAAACUUAAGGUCUAGACAGCGGCGGACUUAGAAUUUUGAGUUCGUGGGUGCUCAAUUUUUUUAAAAAGGUAUAUUUACUAUUAAUUAUAUAGUAUAAGUGCACAAUUAUUUGAUGAUGACAAUGAAUAAAUUUGAUUAAAACUAUUCAUAUUUAUAUUAUAAAUAUCAUGAAUUUUUUACAAAAACACAAUCGCCGAAUAAAAAAAAUUGUUGGUUAAGAUAAUGUUCAAGGGUAAAAAAAAUAAAAUAUUUAGGGGUCAAACUUUGGUGUCUUUAAUUAUUUAUUUAUGAGGUCAACAUUAGGAUUUGGGUCAAAUAGCAGCAACAAAACAACUAUUUAUGAAGGCAUUGGAAUAAAGAACUAUUUAUGAAGCCAACAUUGGGAUAAAGAACUAUUUAUGAAGCCGACAUUAGGAUUUGGAUCAAAUAGUGGCAACAAAAGAACUAAAAAUUAUGUCAAAAAAGAACUUCAAUGGGCUUUGAACUCUCGCACGCUCUUACUAGAAAGUUUCCAUCACCAAUCCACUAAGUCAGAUUUAAUGUCUGUGGAUGAUUUCUGAUUUAUUAUAUCUUUUUUCUUCAAUUUCUAAUAUAAUUGUACCUAUUCUGAGUUAAGAUCAAUGGGUGCUCGAGCACCCAUUUUUUAUCUGUAGGUCUUCCCCUGGGUCUAGAAAGAGAAAAGAAUUGAAGAUCUCUGCAAAAAUGUAGGUAGUUAGAUUCAUCAUACGUAGUUACAUUAUCCUCGAUCUUAUAUGACUAGAGUUGGGAAGAACUUAAUAUAAACAGGCAAUUGUCUAAUUGUCAAUGCUCAAGUUGAGUGCUUAAAAAUCUAUAAUUUUAAAUUUUAUACCUAUUAUCACAUUAAUGUCUUUAUAUCCAUGAUCCUCGAAAAUUUCACUAAUAUAAGCCAUUUUCUCACAACAAUUUAAGCAUCUAAAGCAGAUAAAUUAAUAUGAUUAAUAUUUCUUGGUUGUUUAACUUUGAGAUCCAAUCUGAUCCAUUCUUAACAUAAUGCGAGCACAACAGUUUGCUAUAGGAGUGAAACUCAAUUAAAUUUAAAUUAAAUAUUUUUUUGAGAUGAAUAUAAAUCAUACCUAGACUUAACAAGUUUUCUUCAUUCUUUUUGAGAUUCUGCAAUUGAUCUUAAUUUUACAAGUAAAAAACUACAUAUUAUUUGAGAUUUGGUUCAAUUCACUUUUAAGUUUUAUGAUUAUAUGUAUAUAUUAAAUGAUAAUAUUUCAUUACUUCACAACUAAUUAAGAAUUUAAUAAUGUCAACAUUUUUACUCACGCUUUAAUAGAUAGAGAUACAAAAAUUAAUUUUGAUAAUAUAAAAAAAUAUAUAAAUAAAUUCUACUGAACUUUUUAAAGAGCUUAUACAGUGUUCUACCUUCUAUGAAAGUAGGUAUAGAAUAUGUAGCUCAUGGUGAAAAAUAUAACUACCAAACUAUCAAACUCUAAAAUUAUCGCAGAAAUUCAUAAAAAAAAAUGAUAUAUAUUACUUUCAAUUUGAGAAAGUUACAAGUUCACACUGCUACCAAAGCAAGUCAUUUAAAUACUUACAAAAAGCUAAUUAAUCUUCAAGAAAAAACUUUAUAAAACAUAACUAACAUUACCACAACUAGCUUAUUUAUUAAUUUCUUAUUGUUAAUUUUGUUUCUCCAAAAAACUCACGACUUUCAAUUUCUCUCCAGUAAUAGAAAAUAUUUGUGCUAUUUUUAUAACAACGAUAUUAGGGGAUCUGAAAAGUCUGAAUAAACUUAAUUUUAACUAUUCUGCUGAGCAAUUAAUCACAAUUAAAAAGAUCUUAAAAUUAUUAGGAUUAGAGCAAGACCAAUUUCAAGAGAGAAACAAUGAAGAAAACAUAACAGUACGAAUCUAAACAUGAUAUAUCACAAAAAACAGUGAAACUCACAAAAAGAAAGAUAGAAGGUCGUUAGAUCAUACUACAGACAUCAGGAAUUACGCUAUUUAUAACAUCGCAGAAAGUUGGGAUACAUAAUAUAACAAUAUUUAAACUUAUAAAGAUGUAAAGGCGACCCAAUUUAUCUCAAAAAAGACACACCUCAUCAAAAGAAUGAAAGAUCCCAAAUAAAGAUGGUUGUACAACAAAAAAAGAUGGAAUCAAAGCUCAUAAAAGACAGAUCUGGCGGUUAAAAUGAAGAAGAAGAAAGAUCAGGCUCAUAUGAAAUACAGACUAAAAAAUGAGGAUUGAAGAUACUCACCAAGUUCAUCUAAGUUGAAGUUAAACGAAGUCCUUUCGAAUCUACGGAUUGUGGUGAAUUUUCAUAGACAAAGGACAAGAUUUGAAGUCUAUAAUGGCUCUGAUACCGAGAGAGAAUAGAUCUUGAAAGAAUAAGGAGAGAAAUAACUUUUCAGCGCUGGUGGGUCAAUGAAUAUAGGGAAAACCCAGCCUUAUAAAGCCCUAAAAAAUUAUUCUACAACUUAGAAAUAAACUCAUUGUUUAGCGGUGGUGUUAGAAACAAACUCUAAUAUUUGUGUUGAAAUAAAAAUGUAUUGGGUCGUUUUGGUUGUUACUUUUGAUCCUUACGUGGAAUUUGAUUGAACUGCAGAUUUUAGCUCAACUUAAGGGCUAAAUUUGGUUUCCUUUUGGGCUCUUUUGGACGCAAUUUUGGAUCUCUUCAAAACUAAAUUUUAGUCCCCAAUAUUUCUAUUCUUAGACUUUAAAUUGGGCCUCUAAAUAGCUAUCGCAUUUUAACAAUUCAUUUUUCUUGGACUUGAACUCUUCUUCCCCAAAAGAACACCUUUCAAUUGGCUAUUGUCGUGUAAUCGAUAAGUCACGAGUUUAACCAAGCAAUUAUUAGGUCAUGAGUUCAACCGAGCAUUACUAAUGAUGUUAGCAUUAGAAUAGAAUAUCUACAUCGUAUCACUUACAAUAUCAUUCUUUCUCUAAUUUUGCUGGGUCUCCCUUUUUUUUUACUUUAGAAAAACAUCAGAUAAAUUAAAACAAUAAUUAAACUAUCAUUCACUGAGCGACACUUAGCAAAUCUUAUUCAUGCUUUCAUGAAAGAUGAAGAGUCAUGACUUGUAGGUAGCAAGUUCAAACAAUUACUUACUAGCUCACAAAUUUAAACAAGCAAUUAUUAGAUGCCAAAUUCAAGCAAGUAAUUACUAGGUGACAAAUUCAAAUAAAGUAAUAACAAAGUUAUAUCACUAGCCAAAUGGAAAUGGCAAAUCUUAUUUAGGAUUUUAUGUGAGCAAUUACUUGCUAACAAACCCGGAAAUACAAUUAGUGAGUCACAAUUCAAGCACAAUAAUUAUACGAUCAUGAGUUCAAGUAAUUUACUAAUACAAUUUAUAUUAGUGUAAACUAUCUGCAUCACUCCCGUUCGAGUAUCUCCUUUUCUCAAAUCCUAAUGAAUGUCUUAAAUACAUAUAAUUUUACAAAGAUCCACUGAUUCAAAAACUCAACAAUAAUAGUAACUGAUUAUUUUUUAAUAUAAUCUUUCCAUAUAAUAUAAACAAUCUAUUUUACAUCGUGCAUAGUUUUUCUGUGCAAAAUUUAAGGUGACGAAUUAUAAAAUAUAAAAUUAUCAAUUAAAUUUUACCUUUUUAUUAAAAAAAUAAUCACAUUUGAAAUUCUAUUUUUUGGAAAAUUUAAAUUAGUUCUAAAAUUAAUUAAAAAAUUGGGCAAGUUUAUGUCAAUGGGUCUAUGGUAUUUCUUGUUUUCCUUUUCCACCUUCACUUUACCAAUAAUAAGAAUUUCUCAAUCAUGUCUUGAAAAAGUCUUUGAUAGGCUGGAAUGAUCCUUCAUUAGGCAAGCCCUAAUUUUUUUCAAUUUUCCCCUGGGCUCUGCAAACUUAUCAUGUCGUGCAUCUCCACAUCAUCUAUUUACAUCCUUAUCAAUGGGGGCUACACAUCUAGUUUCAAGCCUUCCAGGGGAAUAAGAAAGGGCGAUCCCCUAUCUUCUUACAUUUUCAACCUUUGUAUGGAGCUUCUGUCUAGAAGGAUGAAUCAUAAAGUGGACACUCUUCAGUGGAAUCCCAUUCAGAUUAACCGUAGAGGCCUAAAAAUCUCUCAUCUUUUCUUCGUGGAUGACCUUACCCUAUUUGAUAAAGAUGACAUUCUCAAUUAUACUACCAUUGCUAGAACUCUUGCCAUCUUCAACACUCACUCCGGCCAAAAAUUUAAUCUGGCCAAAUCUAAGGUGUUUUUCUCCUCCAACUGCCACACCUCUACUAAGGAUCAUCUCUCAU